CAUAUCAUAAAGAUAUAUAUAUAUAUAUAUAGAUUAUACUUAGGUUGAUCAGUCUAUUAAAAAAAUUAGUUGCAUAUGCCUCAAAAUAAUAUUUACAAAUUUCAUUGUUAUAGGUAAAUAAUAAUAUUUUUUGAAAAAAUAAACUACUAUCACCUCUAUGUCAAUUUUGUUCUUUAACGUAUCAAAAUAAUCUCUAUCACUUUUAAAAUCCUCCCAAAAAAUAAGUAAUUGGAGCGAAAACCCCUUAAUCUUUACAUUUUGAGGCAUUUAAUCUUCCAAACAUUAUUUUUGGUUGAGAUAAAGAUGAGAUUUAGGCAAGAUUGUGGUGGGAGAUGGAAAUCUGUGCACAUAAGGAGAUCUGGGCGACGUUGGAAAUGACGAAUACUUGGGCAACACCGAAGUUGGAGAAGGCAAAUCUAGGGAAAAUAGCUCUGAGAGGAGAAAGGUUUUAUUCGACCACAAAAAUUGUAGAUACUAAUUUGAAGAUGUUUAUUUUUGAGGUGCUGAGAACAAAAUCUUAUGCUGCAAUCACUUUAACGGGUGCCAUUGGGGCGUGAUCACAAAGAGGUGAUUGGUUGCAGAUUUCCAAUCCAUGUAUGUACUUUCAUGUAAAGUUUUAAUUAUAUAUUUUGGGUUUGCAUCAAAUGAACGAAUUGGGUCCCUAUUUUCAUUGGUUGUGGUUAAUUUCCUUGAUUGUUGAUGAUCAAAUCUGGGUUAUAAACUUAUAAAUGUAUAUGUUUGAAGGGAUUACAAAAUUUGGAAUUUGAAGCUUGAUUUUCAUAUA
Molecule: long non-coding RNA, 784 nt
Organism: Humulus lupulus (European hop)
Lineage: Eukaryota; Viridiplantae; Streptophyta; Magnoliopsida; Rosales; Cannabaceae
Exons: 2
Source: RefSeq, a predicted model, not a curated record